Molecule: ribosomal RNA, 497 nt
Filed under: uncultured bacterium
Lineage: Bacteria
Description: partial 16S ribosomal RNA
Rfam family: Bacterial small subunit ribosomal RNA
Source: RNAcentral
GAUGAACGCUGGCGGCGUGCCUAAUACAUGCAAGUCGAGCGAACGGACGAGAAGCUUGCUUCUCUGAUGUUAGCGGCGGACGGGUGAGUAACACGUGGAUAACCUACCUAUAAGACUGGGAUAACUUCGGGAAACCGGAGCUAAUACCGGAUAAUAUUUUGAACCGCAUGGUUCAAAAGUGAAAGACGGUCUUGCUGUCACUUAUAGAUGGAUCCGCGCUGCAUUAGCUAGUUGGUAAGGUAACGGCUUACCAAGGCAACGAUGCAUAGCCGACCUGAGAGGGUGAUCGGCCACACCGGAACUGAGACACGGUCCAGACUCCUACGGGAGGCAGCAGUAGGGAAUCUUCCGCAAUGGGCGAAAGCCUGACGGAGCAACGCCGCGUGAGUGAUGAAGGUCUUCGGAUAGUAAAACUCUGUUAUUAGGGAAGAACAUAUGUGUAAGUAACUGUGCACAUCUUGACGGUACCUAAUCAGAAAGCCACGGCUAACUACGUG